UUAAAUUGAAGAGUUUGAUCAUGGCUCAGAUUGAACGCUGGCGGCAGGCCUAACACAUGCAAGUCGAACGGUAACAGGAAACAGCUUGCUGUUUCGCUGACGAGUGGCGGACGGGUGAGUAAUGUCUGGGAAACUGCCUGAUGGAGG
Molecule: ribosomal RNA, 147 nt
Filed under: Escherichia coli
Lineage: Bacteria; Pseudomonadati; Pseudomonadota; Gammaproteobacteria; Enterobacterales; Enterobacteriaceae
Also listed under: 1 other name
Description: partial 16S ribosomal RNA
Rfam family: Bacterial small subunit ribosomal RNA
Source: RNAcentral